CUGGCGGUAUGCUUAACACAUGCAAGUCGAACGAGACGAGAUGGAAGGAUCCUUCGGGUGACGGAAAUCUUAGAAAGUGGCGAACGGGUGAGUAACGCGUGGGUAACCUGCCCUAUGGAAAGGAAUAGCCUCGGGAAACUGGGAGUAAUGCCUUAUAAUACAUUGAAGUCGCAUGGCUUUGAUGUUAAACGCUCCGGUGCCAUAGGAUGGACCCGCGUCCCAUUAGCUAGUUGGUGAGAUAACAGCCCACCAAGGCGACGAUGGGUAACCGGUCUGAGAGGGCGAACGGUCACACUGGAACUGAGACACGGUCCAGACUCCUACGGGAGGCGAGCAGUGGGGAAUAUUGCGCAAUGGGGGAAACCCUGACGCAGCAAUACCGCGUGAGUGAAGAAGGUUUUCGGAUCGUAAAGCUCUGUUAUUGGGGAAGAAAAAAGACGGUACCCAAGAAGAAAGUCCCGGCUAACUACGUGCCAGCCGCCGC
RNAcentral lists this ribosomal RNA (484 nucleotides) under uncultured bacterium. RNAcentral's name for it is "bacterial SSU rRNA". It matches the Rfam family "Bacterial small subunit ribosomal RNA", at positions 36 to 518 of the family's 1533-position model. The record is from RNAcentral.